This 364-nucleotide ribosomal RNA is filed under the name uncultured Enterobacteriaceae bacterium. Its description in RNAcentral is "bacterial SSU rRNA". It matches the Rfam family "Bacterial small subunit ribosomal RNA", at positions 1014 to 1382 of the family's 1533-position model. Lineage: Bacteria; Pseudomonadati; Pseudomonadota; Gammaproteobacteria; Enterobacterales; Enterobacteriaceae. The record is from RNAcentral.
UGCCUUCGGGAACUGUGAGACAGGUGCUGCAUGGCUGUCGUCAGCUCGUGUUGUGAAAUGUUGGGUUAAGUCCCGCAACGAGCGCAACCCUUAUCCUUGUUGCCAGCGUCGGCCGGGAACUCAAAGGAGACUGCCAGUGAUAAACUGGAGGAAGGUGGGGAUGACGUCAAGUCAUCAUGGCCCUUACGACCAGGGCUACACACGUGCUACAAUGGCGCAUACAAAGAGAAGCGACCUCGCGAGAGCAAGCGGACCUCAUAAAGUGCGUCGUAGUCCGGAUUGGAGUCUGCAACUCGACUCCAUGAAGUCGGAAUCGCUAGUAAUCGUGGAUCAGAAUGCCACGGUGAAUACGUUCCCGGGCCUU